RNAcentral lists this long non-coding RNA (1436 nucleotides) under Monodelphis domestica (gray short-tailed opossum). RNAcentral's name for it is "lncRNA (ENSMODG00000037077.1)". The record is from RNAcentral. Lineage: Eukaryota; Metazoa; Chordata; Mammalia; Didelphimorphia; Didelphidae.
CACCCUCAAUCUGCCUCGGUUUCGGCUUCGGCUUCGGCUUCGGCUCCCGCUCCGCCCGAUCGCCAGUCGCCCGAGACCCCACCCCCACCCCGCGUGCGGAGCCCCCUCCUCCCACCCCAAAGCCGGGGCCAGCCGCGCAGCGCGAGCGGGGGCGCGCGGACCGACUGACGCGCGCUGGCCAGCGGGAGCAGCACACUCACACCCAGUCCCCUUAAACACGCAGGCGCGUAGCUGCCCCCGCCAGGCGGGGAUGCCGGAGGAGUCCCCGCGGCCUCCCGCCGCUCUCCCCAAGGGGUCAAGCUGGGGCCAAUCCCAAGCUUGCUUUCUAUCCCCCUCUUACCGCACCCUCCCUUUUCUAGCUCCUCCGACUCCUCUCUCGAUCGGGAGCCACGCCUCCCAAGCUCCAGAUGAUUGUGGGUCCAGGAAGAGGCCCUGAUUUGAGACUGGAGAAUUAAUGUGAAGACCCAGUAGAAGAAAUGAACAGAGAAGUUGCUUAUCCAAGUCAAAAUAUCAGAAGCAAAAACAAGGAAAUCAGAAGCCAAUAGAACUGAGAAGCCAACAGAAGGAAAGUUUGGUGAGACCUGAUGACUUAGACCAGUUUGGCACUUAUAUAUAGAGAACUGAUCUGAUUGGAGAAAAUAUUUGAUAUUGGGAACUGAUUAGAGAAAGCAGAAUCUUCUACAGUGUGUAUGGCUCAAUGUGAAGAAUCCUCUCAAAGCCCACAUAGCAGCCUUAAAUGAAUAGCUCUGCAAAUCCAAGCCUCAAGGGCACUGCUUCACCAUAAGAGUGUCCUGGUGUCAAGCAAAGGGAAUAUCCCUGGAAAGCUUCGUACUUCUCAGGCUUAUAGUUGCUAUUUGCUAGCUAAAUACUGCUCCAGCUGCCUGAGAAUACUAGAAAAGAUGAUUCGUCCAGCAGGAGUGGAGAGGCUUAGUUAGGAAAGGAGUGAUUUUACCUUCAGGAGGUGAUUUAUAGUGCUAUUUCACAAUACACAAGGACACAAGGCCUGCAGUCCAAAGUUGUAAGUUGCUCUGGGUACAUGGGUUUCCCUAUUCAUUUUAUAGUUCACUGCUAAAUUCUGGGAGUUUCAAUUACACCAAGAUUUUAAUUUGCUUUAAUUAUUCUUUGAAUGUUUUAUGGAAUUCACUUGUAAAUCCAUCAGGUUCUAGAGUGUUUUUCUUUUGUAGCUCAUUUAUCUCUUGUUCAGUUUCUUUUUCUGAUAUUAGGCUAUUUAAAAUACCACUUAAGUUUUAUUAACCUGGGUAUUUUAUAUUUUUUUCAAAUUUCUAUCCAUUCCAUCUAAAUUUUUAGUUUUGUUGGGAUAUAAUUGAAAGAAAUAUUUUCUCAGAGCUGUUUUUAUUUCUUCAACCCUUAUACUUUUUUUUCAUUUUUUUACUCAAAAAUUUGAUUUUUUGCUUUUUAAAGACUUUGUUAGUUUU